RNAcentral lists this long non-coding RNA (4999 nucleotides) under Lupinus angustifolius (narrow-leaved blue lupine). RNAcentral's name for it is "long non-coding RNA (LANG_LNC001623)". Lineage: Eukaryota; Viridiplantae; Streptophyta; Magnoliopsida; Fabales; Fabaceae. The record is from RNAcentral.
AUGUAUAUAAUAUAGCUCACCAGUUACCAAAACUACACUCAAUAUUUGGUUCUAAGGAGUGGAUUGCAUAAUUGCCUAUGCUAUACCUAUAUGUUGUAAUGGAUGUAUAAUAAGGUUAUAGGGUUGCUUGAUAUUUGAGUAAUAUGGACUCUAUUUGUGUAAAGCCUAAAAGUAUGAUGUGUCCAUGCAGUGUAAAAAAAAUGAUAAACUCAAAAGUAGCAGUAAUUAAAUAUUUAUCUUAAAGAAUUUUAGAUUCAUAUUUUUAUACGGAUCAAAACAAUAGACAUUUAACUAACGAUAUAUUCAUAAACAUUGAUAAUAUUAAACUUCAGUCAACUCCAUCUCCAUUCAUAAGACAUUUAUAACUAUUUCACACACUUUAAAAAAACAAUAGUAAAAGAUAAUUGUAGUUGGGUCUAAUUGAAAACUCUUCAUUUCAAUGUUUCUUUUACGUAUAUGUAAAAUUUAAGAAUUGAAUCUAAAAUUUGGUAGUUUUUUAAUUUAUGAAAAGGACCAGUAUUAAAAAUUGAUAUAAAGACGUAUUUAUUUGUAUAUAUAAAUUUAUAAAAUAAUCAUGAAUUAGAAUACAAUGAUAUUAAAUUUCAUUAUUGAUAUAUUUCGUGUGAAGUUGUAUUCUCUGUCAUCAAUGAUAUAUCACUUUCUUCAUCUUCAUCUUGAUCUUGAUCUUGAUUGAGUUGCAGUGAUUAUUGUAAUUAUUGAUCAGAAACCCACACACCUUUCUUCAUAAUAACUAUAAUCUUCUACACACUCUGCUUCCAAGGUAACACCUCUCUUCACCUUUCUCUUCACCUUUCUCUUCACCUUUCUCUUCACAAAUCUUACCAUCAUUCUGUUCUCAUUAAUUAUUCUUAAGUGGGGUUCUUCACCCUUCAUUAAAUUUCUUAUCUUUUAUCCCUUUAUUGUAGAUCCACGAUCUUAACAUGCAUAUAUGAAUAUCUGAAUUACCUUCAAGUCUGAAUCUCAGCGUUUGUAAAUUUCGAAUCUUUUGUUGUAGAUCAGUGGGUUGGUGAAGGAAAGAAUUAACUAAUUACUUUUUCUCCGAUUAUUUCUUUUUUAUCAGCACGAGUGAGUGGGAAUUUUGGUAGCUAUUAGGAGUUAUUAUUGGGAAUUUUCAAGUCUGAAGGCUUUGCAUAAACAUGUAGAAACAAUUACAAGCUUUCAAACUAAUCAUUCCUCCUCAGUGUUUCCAUCCUCUUUCUUUCUAUUCUUCUCUCCUCAUCUUGUACUAUUUUUUCCUUCAGAAAACUUUCAUUCAAAUCAAAAAAUAAUUUAUUUUCAUGAUUUCAUCAUUCAUGUGCUUCAAGGAGAAAGGAAGACAACAAUACAUAAUUUACAGUCUUUAUAUUGUGAGUUAUUUUAAUAUGAUGCAUUAUGUAAUUUCAAAUACGUUCUAAUCCUGGAUAAUCAUAGAAUUUGUUCUUUGGUGUCAAGUACUUUUUAAUAUCAGAAUCUUCUGGAUAUUUAACUUCAAUUGUUGUGCCAGAUUUUGCUCCCAGUGGUGCCUCCAAAUUUGACAGAUCCUGCCAUUUGGGAUUGAGAUCAACUGAAUUUGGAAAUGGUUAAAAGGUUUAUUUUCCCUCUACCGACAUAUGAUCACUUUAUGGAGAAUGAACAAAAUGGAAUAUCUAAUUGAAUUGUUUUUUGGAACAGUUAUGGAAUGUUCUGAUUUGCCAAAGAUACUAUCAUGUUGCAGUGCAUAGAGGGAAUUUUGCAUAUAUUUGCACCCAUAUUGCGAUGUUGUGACCUUGAUUUAAAUAAGCAGCCAACAGGCCUCAAAGAUCCUGAACUUCUUGCAAGGGAAACAGUGUGUAUGUGUCAACCUUACUUUAUGAUUAUGAAAUAGAUGCACAUUAUUUGAGCUUAUGACAACUGUUUGUUUUGCAACCAUAUGCAGUCAGUGUAAGUGAAAUAGAAGCACUUUAUGAGCUCUUUAAAAAGAUCAGCAGUGCUGUCAUUGAUGAUGGGCUGAUUAACAAGGAAGAGUUUCAACUGGCAUUAUUCAAGACAAAUAAAAAAGAGAGCUUGUUUGCCGAUCGGGUAUUCCUUUCUUGUUAUCUGUUUUAAUGUCACUUUUUCUUUUAUUAGAUCAGGUUAAAACUUAAGACCCACUCAAAUACAACAACAACAACAACAACAACCAAUCCUUAUCUCACAAUUGUUUGUCAUAUACAACGGAAAAUAUUGUGCCUGUUUAAUUCUAAAUGGCUGAAAUUUGGUUCUCCUCUUUCUUUUCUAAUACCCACAAAGGUAUUAAAUGUAUGCCAUAUUACUGCAAGGUGAAACCAAAAUAAGGUCAGUAUACUGUUAAAUUACAAUGACCUGUGCUUCAGUGAAACUUAAUAUUAUAAUGAAUUAAAUUCUAAUAUACCACUGUUAGAGGUUUUCUCACAUGUUACCUUAUUAUUUUACACAUUUUCAAGAAAAAUCACUUUCAAGACCAAUUUGUAUGUUAUUUACUGAUACUUGCUUCAUGUACAUACAUUGGUUCAUAUCAUUCAAGUGUUUAGUAUUUCAUAUAAGCUUCUUCCUCUAUGCACUCUCUCAGGUAUUUGAUUUGUUUGACACAAAGCACAAUGGGAUACUCGGUUUUGAAGAGUUUGCUCGUGCUCUCUCCGUCUUCCAUCCAAAUGCCCCUAUUGAUGAUAAGAUUGAAUGUAUGUCAUUUUAUAUUUUUUUAUUUUUUGUUAAUCAUUAUCUUGGAACGAAAUUUCUGUGAAAUGUAAUAUCUCUGGUAUUCUAUUGCUUAGAAACAGAGAAAAUCUCUCAUAUUACAAGUGAUGUUGCAGAACUUCGAGGGUCUACACCUCCCAUUCCCAAUACCUUAAGGCCCCAAUUCUCACUACACAAAUGACAAUAUGUCCUCAUCUUCUAACUCCUCUCUUACUUAUACGCAACAGGCCUUAUUUCUCUAGCUAUCCCAGCCCCAAACUAACUAACUCCAUAAAGUUUCCUAACUGCGUUCUAUCUAAAUGACUAGCAGUUACCAAAAUGGACCAAGGUCACACCAUGACACUAACCCUUUCGAUUCUAGCAUAUGGAUGAUGCUGGAGUUCAUUGCUUUGGUGGUGCAGAUAAUUAUUACAACAUCUACUUUGGCCAUGUCAAAGAGGGAGAGACCUGUUUGGCCUAUGAGGAUAUGGGCAACUAGUUAUGAUAUUGGUUGUGUUCUUAAUCUGCUGUUACUUUAUGGGCGCUACCAUCAAAUAUAUUUGACUCCAGGAGAUACUCUUAACCUUUCUGAUCUGGAACAUCAGAGAAACAAUGAAGAAACCAGGUAUGUUAUCAACUUCUUCUAUCUUCAUCAAGUUUCUGUCAGUUUUAUUAUUAGUGAUUAAUAGUUAAUCCGGUGCUAAUGACACAUGCUGAAAAUUUGGCUAGAGAAGAUUGACAAACCAAUUGGAUUACUAAAUGUAGAAAAAUACUAAGUAUCAACUAUCAAGUAACCAUAAAGUCAUGUUAAUUGUCCCUUGAAUAAGAGCUUGGAAGAAUCAAAUACUCUCACAUGCCUUUUUCUUUUGAAUUAAUUCAUGGUUUUUAGUGUUUAAACGGAGAAGAAUCUGUUGUAUCUAAUUGUGUAUAAAACAUGUGAAAGAUGAAAAGCCUAAGAUGAAAAUGAUACCAACUUUUUUAUAUUAAAAGUUGCUUCAAGUUGACUGAAUCCACAUCCAAUGAAAGAAAAAUUUAGUUUCUAAACAGUAUGAAAUUGUUAAACAUAGAAAGUACCAAGUAACCAUAAAGUUAUGCUAAUUUGUCCCUUGAAAAAGAGUAAAAUACCCGCACUUACCUUUCUCUAAAUCAGUUUAUGUUAUUUACUGUUUAAACUAAGUAGAAUCUUUUGUUUAUUGCAACCUUUCCAUUUCUAACCAUGCAGUUUUAUUUUUUCUUCUUUCUAUGGUUAAAUUUGAACAUGUAAUAUAUUUUGCACUAUACAGGUUUCCACAUUUAAUGAAUAAGUGCAAGACUUCACUUGAGCUUUUCUUUGCCAUAUGGUUUGUGAUGGGCAAUGUUUGGAUUUUUGAGUCAUCACGUUUUGGAUAUUACAAUGAAGCUCCAAAGCUUCAUGUGCUCUGCAUCACCUUACUUGGUUGGAAUGCUAUCUGCUAUUCUUUCCCUUUCCUACUGUUUGUGCUGUUAUGUUGUUGUGUGCCACUUAUUAAUUGCAUCCUCGGAUACAACAUGGUCUCUUCUGAUAAAGGAGCAACUGAUGAUCAAAUUUCACAACUUCCAAGUUGGACACAUAAACAUGUCCAUACCAACUUAGAGCUUGUUGGCAAUGAUUCUGAAGGCUGUGAAAAUUUGAUUAAUGAAGAUCCUGUAAGUGACACCAUUCUUUGUAUAAAGAGUUAGUAAUGCUACUACUCGUAAAACCAAAAAACACACAAAUUUGCUACUGUAUUUAUUUACUUAUGGUGUGAAUUAAUAAGUUUGUUCUGAUUUGGGUGCUUCCAGGAAUGCUGCAUUUGCUUAGCCAAGUAUAAAGAGAAAGAAGAAGUUAGAGAAUUGCCCUGUUCUCAUAUAUUCCAUAAAAAAUGUGUGGAUCAAUGGCUAAAAAUAAUAUCCUGCUGCCCUCUUUGCAAACAAGGAUUAGAGAGGACAAAAUAGUUUGAGAUAUACAUUGUUGAUGUUACCCAUAGUAGUUUAUAUUUCUCUUUUUUCCACAUUGGUCAUAUGGUUACUAGAGUGAGUUUGUACAUGUAUAUAAUAUAGCUCACCAGUUACCAAAACUACACUCAAUAUUUGGUUCUAAGGAGUGGAUUGCAUAAUUGCCUAUGCUAUACCUAUAUGUUGUAAUGGAUGUAUAAUAAGGUUAUAGGGUUGCUUGAUAUUUGAGUAAUAUGGACUCUAUUUGUGUAAAGCCUAAAAGUAUGAUGUGUCCAUGCAGUGUAAAAAAAAUGAUAAACUCAAAAGUAGCAGUAAUUAAAUAUUUAUCUUAAAGAAUUUUAGAUUCAUAUUUUUAUACGGAUCAAAACAAUAGACA